UACGAAGGGGGCUAGCGUUGUCCGGAAUUAUUGGGCGUAAAGAGCUCGUAGGCGGUUUGUCGCGUCUGCUGUGAAAACCCGAGGCUCAACCUCGGGCCUGCAGUGGGUACGGGCAAACUAGAGUGCGGUAGGGGAGAUUGGAAUUCCUGGUGUAGCGGUGGAAUGCGCAGAUAUCAGGAGGAACACCAAUGGCGAAGGCAGAUCUCUGGGCCGUAACUGACGCUGAGGAGCGAAAGCAUGGGGAGCGAACAGG
Molecule: ribosomal RNA, 253 nt
Filed under: uncultured bacterium
Lineage: Bacteria
Description: partial 16S ribosomal RNA
Rfam family: Bacterial small subunit ribosomal RNA
Source: RNAcentral